CCCUUAGAUGUCCGGGGCUGCACGCGCGCUACACUGUAGAAAGCAGCGUGCUUUAAAACCUUUCCUGAAAAGGAUGGGUAACCCCAGCAAAAUUCUACGUGCUUGGGAUAGAGAUUUGCAAUUUUCUCUCUUGAACGAGGAAUUCCUAGUAAGCGCAAGUCAACAGCUUGCGUUGAUUACGUCCCUGCCCUUUGUACACACCGCCCGUCGCUACUACUGAUUGGAUGUUUAAGCGAGGUUCUCGAACUGCUAGCGACUUAGCUUCGGUGAGGUCGCAGUGUGGGAAGUGAACCUAGCUUUGGUGUCUAGAGGAAGUAAAAGUCGUAACA
Molecule: ribosomal RNA, 329 nt
Filed under: uncultured eukaryote
Lineage: Eukaryota
Description: partial 18S ribosomal RNA
Rfam family: Eukaryotic small subunit ribosomal RNA
Source: RNAcentral